GACGAACGCUGGCGGCGUGCUUAACACAUGCAAGUCGAACGGAAAGGCCCUGCUUUUGUGGGGUGCUCGAGUGGCGAACGGGUGAGUAACACGUGAGUAACCUGCCCUUGACUUUGGGAUAACUUCAGGAAACUGGGGCUAAUAUCGGAUAGGAGCUCCUGCUGCAUGGUGGGGGUUGGAAAGUUUCGGCGGUUGGGGAUGGACUCGCGGCUUAUCAGCUUGUUGGUGGGGUAGUGGCUUACCAAGGCUUUGACGGGUAGCCGGCCUGAGAGGGUGACCGGCCACAAUGGGACUGCGAUACGGCGCAGAAUCCUACGGGAGGCAGCAGUGGGGAGUAUUGCACAGUGGGCGGAAGCCUGAUGCAGCAACGCCGCGUGCGGGAUGACGGCCUUCGGGUUGUAAACCGCUUUCGCCUGUGACGAGGCGUGAGUGACGGUAAUGGGUAAAGAAGCACCGGCUAACUACGUG
This 468-nucleotide ribosomal RNA is filed under the name uncultured bacterium. RNAcentral's name for it is "partial 16S ribosomal RNA". It matches the Rfam family "Bacterial small subunit ribosomal RNA", at positions 28 to 507 of the family's 1533-position model. The record is from RNAcentral.